GGGCGUGUAGCUCAGUUGGUAGAGCAGUCGACUUAUACUCGACCGGUCCCUGGUUCGAGCCCAGGCGCGCCCA
This is a non-coding RNA of Candidatus Adlerbacteria bacterium, 73 nucleotides long. The record is from Rfam. Lineage: Bacteria; Candidatus Adleribacteriota.